UCAGUAACACGUAGUCAACUGCCCUGGAGACACGGAUAACCCCGGGAAACUGGGACCAAUCCGUGAUAGGUCGCCUCAUCUGGAAGGAGAGGCGGCCAAAGGGGAGUUGUGGGCUUCCACUUCUAUCGCUCCAGGAUGGGACUGCGGCCGAUCAGGCUGUUGGCGGGGUAAUGGCCCACCAAACCUGUAACCGGUACGGGCCUUGAGAGAGGGGGCCCGGAGAUGGACACUGAACAAGGGUCCAGGUCCUACGGGGCGCAGCAGGCGCGAAACCUUCGCAAUGUGCGAAAGCAUGACGAGGUUAAUCCGAGUGGCUUCCGCUGAGGAAGUCUUUUGCCGACUCUAAAACGGUCGGAGAAUAAGGGGAGGGCNAAGUCUGGUGCCA
RNAcentral lists this ribosomal RNA (385 nucleotides) under unidentified archaeon. Its description in RNAcentral is "bacterial SSU rRNA". It matches the Rfam family "Archaeal small subunit ribosomal RNA", at positions 90 to 460 of the family's 1478-position model. The record is from RNAcentral.